UUUCAUACAAGGACUUGAUUUUGAACGAUCAGUUUGUAUGGUAGCUAUAUGUUAUAGUGGUUCGAUAUCGGCGUUUCCGACAAAUGAGCAGCUUCUUGUAAAGAAAAGAACGUGAUUAAAAUUUCAGAUCGAUAACUCCAAAAUGUCGGCAUUAUUUCACGUAUAUACAGAGAGACGGAUAGAUGGACAUGGCUAAAUCGACUCAGCUGCUCACAUUGAAAAUUUAUACACAUAUGUAUAAAUUAUAUAGAAUCUCCAACAUUUCCUUCUGGAUGUUACAUACUUCUUGGCAUACUUAAUAUAGCCUGUUCAGGGUAUAAAAAUGUCUUCGUCGCAGAAGCGAUACAUGUGCUUACAAUGAGUAAUGUGAUGUUUGAGUAAUUUUUGAUGACAUAUGCUUACGCAAUGGUGGUGUGUUAAGUCACAAACUAGUUUUAAUGCUUUGAACCAAGAAACGUCAGAUUCUUCUGUACAAAUAAGCAAGUUAGUACGCAUUUCGCAUAUUUCACUAAUUGAUAAAAAAACACGGAAAUGAGUGUUUAAAAAAAAAAAAUUAUAUAAAUUUGCCUUCAUGAGUUGAAAAGAAAACCCACCCAGAUAGCCGCUAUAUCUCGUACACAACUAUUUGUACCAGUUAAUCGAAGCGACCGAUAAGAUGUCAAAAAAGAUAGCAUUAAAGAUUGCUCAAUCCUCAGGGCGCUUACCUUCAAUUAUCUUUUAUGAAAACUAUUUGUUUGUGUCAACUGCGUCAUGGCAUCAAAUUAUUUAUGUAUACUUAAAAUCGUAUGUAUGUGAUGCGAUCAGUGUGUUAUACAAUUGACAGUUCGCCACGCUAGUUCUGCUAGGCUCACGCAUACUUGGCAGGACGAGAAAAUAGGAGACAUCAUUUUUUCUCACCUACUUAUACUACGGAUUUUUAUACAUACAUUUUAAUAUAUAAUAUACAUUUUAUGUACAUAUUUACUAUAAUUAGUAGAAUAAUUUCUCCUAAAUGUAUAAUUUGUUUGACGAUUCUUUAUGUCGAUUCCACUUUUUAUUUCUUCUUCGCUAUAAACAAAACGUCAGCUGUUCGUAUCUGUGUACGCAAAAUCCAAACCAAGCACACCGAACACUCAAGCAUAGUUGCAUUUUUAUGAUUUUCUUGGAUGAAAGCGGCAGUAAUAUUGUUUACACCAUUGCAGCUACAUAUCUAUUUAUAGGUUAUAUCGGAUUUAAGUCUAGCGAUUGUGUUUUGUGUAAGAAAUUUCAGGUUUUUAAAACAAACUUUCAGUUGGCACAGCCGUUUUUGUUAGCAAAAAACCGUUUACCUUUACUGUAAGCAAAAGAAAAAAACAUCUGAAUUUUUUUUACCUUAGCAAGAGCGCUAGUGAAUUGCUUAUGUAUAAUUGAAGUGAAAAAAUGUGUCAUUACGUAAGAAAUAUAAAUACAAGUAUAUUGCAGUGCCAAAUAAUUUAAGAAAAAAAAAAUACUUAUGCUGUGUAGAAACAAGGACAUUUUUAAUGCAGCAAAUCUUAUUUUGACGGAUAGUGAGCGUGUGGAGAGGGAGGAGAGAUGCAGCGAGUUGCCCGUACUUGGACAGCACGUUUUAUGACCAUUCUCAUAAUUGCCGAUUCAUAUACAACUUUCUACGCUUUGGUUGACAUUUCAUACUUUAACAAUGAAGCGUAGCAAGCAAAGUGUAUAUCAGAAUGAAUGCUAUGCUUUCCGUGCUUCUUUAAAAAAAAAUUGACGUUCUUUGCUUGGCAAAGCGUAAAGAAAUGAGAGUUCUCCAACAUUUUGCUUCGCUUUGCUUUGACUUGUCACGAUAGGAAUGAAGUCAUAUAAAAGCAUACAUCGAACUUAUCUGUCAAAGCCAAUGUCUGACGCAAAUCAAAGCAAAAGUUGUAUGUGAAACAGCCAUAACGUCUACUUCUUAUAUAUAAAAAUGAAACGCUAUUUCGUUAUGUACUCGCAGUACUUUCGAACCGCAGCACGGAAAGACGUAAAAACCGUUCACACGACAGAUUCGGAUCUAUGUAACCGGAACGAAGCCGGAUUUUUAUGCGGCUAAGGACUGUCAACUCGGCAAAAUUCUGCCGCUACAACAAGAAUAACGUGAAAAUUUCCACAUUUGUUCAUUUAUUUGUGCAGAAGGUCCUAACGGAGUCCUUUUUUUUUGCGAAAUCAUCGUCGAUUUUGCGAUUACAUUCGAUGAAUUUUGAACAAAACAUUGUCUUAUGAUUAGACAUAGGUCAUGGCUCUUCUGCUCUCCUUCUGCACCGUUAUACUAUGCACAGGCGGUAAGUUAUGGGUAAUGCAGAUGCUGAUUUACUCUACGCCUCACAUAUCACAUUACUAUCGAUUCGAACGAUUUUCGGAUUUUGACCAUUUUUAGACUUGAGAUGGCACAUCUAAACGGCAUUAUUUUUGCACAGUUUUAACCCGAUAUAUUAUAUUUAGGUGUGGUUGUCGACCGAAUUCGCACAGCAUACUAUGGGAAUGUCAGAAAAAAGAUAUAAACGAAAUUAUCGUUAAAAUUGGUUUAGUAGCUCAUAAAAAAUAUAUUUAACGAGGAUGUCAAUAAGACGAACAGACUCCACCCAGAUUUGAACUCGCCUCGUCAUCCCGAUCGUUUAUAUAAGUAUAUUAUAACUCCGUAUCUAUCUCAAUUAGUUUUA
Bactrocera oleae (olive fruit fly) is the source of this 2657-nucleotide non-coding RNA. The record is from RefSeq and is a predicted model, not a curated record. NCBI's taxonomy places the organism in Eukaryota, Metazoa, Arthropoda, Insecta, Diptera, Tephritidae.